GUGGGUAACCUGCCUCAUACAGGGGGAUAACAGUUGGAAACGACUGCUAAUACCGCAUAAGCGCACAGGAUCACAUGAUCUGGUGUGAAAAACUCCGGUGGUAUGAGAUGGACCCGCGUCUGAUUAGCCAGUUGGCAGGGUAACGGCCUACCAAAGCGACGAUCAGUAGCCGACCUGAGAGGGUGACCGGCCACAUUGGGACUGAGACACGGCCCAAACUCCUACGGGAGGCAGCAGUGGGGAAUAUUGCACAAUGGGGGAAACCCUGAUGCAGCGACGCCGCGUGAGCGAAGAAGUAUUUCGGUAUGUAAAGCUCUAUCAGCAGGGAAGAAGAAUGACGGUACCUGACUAAGAAGCACCGGCUAAAUACGUGCCAGCAGCCGCGGUAAUACGUAUGGUGCAAGCGUUAUCCGGAUUUACUGGGUGUAAAGGGAGCGCAGGCGGUGCGGCAAGUCUGAUGUGAAAGCCCGGGGCUCAACCCCGGUACUGCAUUGGAAACUGUCGUACUAGAGUGUCGGAGGGGUAAGUGGAAUUCCCAGUGUAGCGGUGAAAUGCGUAGAUAUUAGGAGGAACACCAGUGGCGAAGGCGGCUUACUGGACGAUAACUGACGCUGAGGCUCGAAAGCGUGGGGAGCAA
RNAcentral lists this ribosomal RNA (637 nucleotides) under uncultured bacterium. RNAcentral's name for it is "bacterial SSU rRNA". It matches the Rfam family "Bacterial small subunit ribosomal RNA", at positions 117 to 771 of the family's 1533-position model. The record is from RNAcentral.